GAAGCCCUGAUUCCUUGGAGAAAGGCUUGCAGCCCCUCUCCUUCCUGGAUUGCACACCUCCAGCCCUGGCAGCCUGUCCCCUGGUUGGCACCCAGCAGCAGGCCACAGAUGGCUUCUGGCUGUCCCAUGGCGUCGCAUCAGGGCAUGCAGCGGAUAGUGACUCACACUGGCACCUCUUCUGCUUGGAAAAUGCCCUACACAUCCAUCAUCUUUGGUUUUUCUGCUAGAACGAUGGCAUGAGGAGCCGGCUCAGGUGUCUCUCCCUCCAGGAAGUGGGGCUUGUGCCCUUUGGAUACCUGCACUCCCCAUCACCGCACUCCCCAUCGUGGCACUUCCCUUGUUGCAGUUUUAUGGAGUGUGCGUCUGGCUCUCCAACUAGACUUGAACCGCUUGAGUGCAUAACUCGGGACUUGACCAUUUGCGUCUCCCUACGGCCAGCUCAGCCUCCGCACACAGGGACCUGCAGAGAGUGGAUGUAGCCACUGCCCCAGCGUCCCUGGGCUCUGAAGAGAAGCCAUUGCCCUUCAAGAGCCACCCUCAUUUCCUGGGCACUGGUUGGAAAAAACGAAGAAAAAGAGACACCCAGCUCACCUCCAAGUUUGCCUGCAGGUGAAUAUCUUGUUGAAAGAGAGGGGACUCCCUGAGUCUUGCUGGGUUGAGGAAGCUGAUUGGAUUUCCGGACUCAGAGGAGGGCUGCAGAGAGGGAGGAAUGGGGGGGAUGGGCAGCUGGCUUUCUGGAUGGGUGCAGGACAAUGACAUUGAUGGGGAAGCUUGGGGUGGCUCUGCCGUUGCCCACUGCUUGGCUGGUGAACUUGCUACAUCUUGGCCAGCACUAUCCUCUUCUGGCCUGCACCCUGCCAGACACAGGCAGUACCCCAAAUACCCUGUCCCUGUGCCCCGAAGUCUCCAUGACCUUCAGAUCCCAAGGGACAAGUGGCUCCACGAGGCAGGGCCUGUCCCUCUGGCUCACACUAUGGAGUCCACAGAACCUAGCCCGGAGCCUAGUGCACAGUAGGUGCUCAAUGUAUUCUAUUUGAAUGUUGCAUGAGUGAAUAAAUGCAGGAAUGUCAGGCUGGAAAACAGGUAUUUGUACACCUGUUUUCAUAGCAGUGUUAUUCACAGUAGUCAAAGGGUGGAAGCAUCCCACGUGUCUGCUGAUGGGUGAACGAGUAAACAGAAUGUGCCCCAGCCAUACAAUGGAAUGCGAUUCAGCCUUUUUUU
RNAcentral lists this long non-coding RNA (1221 nucleotides) under Homo sapiens (human). RNAcentral describes it as "IER5L antisense RNA 1". The record is from RNAcentral. Lineage: Eukaryota; Metazoa; Chordata; Mammalia; Primates; Hominidae.